RNAcentral lists this ribosomal RNA (497 nucleotides) under uncultured bacterium. RNAcentral describes it as "partial 16S ribosomal RNA". It matches the Rfam family "Bacterial small subunit ribosomal RNA", at positions 28 to 507 of the family's 1533-position model. The record is from RNAcentral.
GAUGAACGCUGGCGGCGUGCCUAAUACAUGCAAGUCGAGCGAACGGACGAGAAGCUUGCUUCUCUGAUGUUAGCGGCGGACGGGUGAGUAACACGUGGAUAACCUACCUAUAAGACUGGGAUAACUUCGGGAAACCGUAGUUAAUACCGGAUAAUAUUUUGAACCGCAUGGUUCAAUAGUGAAAGACGGUCUUGCUGUCACUUAUAGAUGGAUCCGCGCUGCAUUAGCUAGUUGGUAAGGUAACGGCUUACCAAGGCAACGAUGCAUAGCCGACCUGAGAGGGUGAUCGGCCACACUGGAACUGAGACACGGUCCAGACUCCUACGGGAGGCAGCAGUAGGGAAUCUUCCGCAAUGGGCGAAAGCCUGACGGAGCAACGCCGCGUGAGUGAUGAAGGUCUUCGGAUCGUAAAACUCUGUUAUUAGGGAAGAACAUAUGUGUAAGUAACUGUGCACAUCUUGACGGUACCUAAUCAGAAAGCCACGGCUAACUACGUG